Molecule: ribosomal RNA, 421 nt
Filed under: uncultured bacterium
Lineage: Bacteria
Description: partial 16S ribosomal RNA
Rfam family: Bacterial small subunit ribosomal RNA
Source: RNAcentral
AAUAUUUGACAAUGGGGGCAACCCUGAUCCAGCCAUGCCUCGUGUGUGAAGAAGGUCUUCGGAUUGUAAAGCACUUUAAGUUGGGAGGAAGGGCGUUAGGUUAAUACCCUGAAGUUUUGACGUUACCAACAGAAUAAGCACCGGCUAACUCUGUGCCAGAAGCCGCGGUAAUACAGAGGGUGCAAGCGGUAAUCGGAAUUACUGGGCGUAAAGCGCGCGUAGGUGGGUCAGUAAGAUGGGUGUGAAAUCCCCGGGCUUAACCUGGGAACUGCUUUCAUAACUGCUGAGCUAGAGUACGGUAGAGGGUAGUGGAAUUUCCUGUGUAGCGGUGAAAUGCGUAGAUAUAGGAAGGAACACCAGUGGCGAAGGCGACUACCUGGACUGAUACUGACACUGAGGUGCGAAAGCGUGGGGAGCAAUA